UUUCUCUGUGUAACAGUCUUGGCUGCCCUGGACUUGAUCAGUAGACCUUGAACUCAAAGUAAUCUGGACUUGAUCAGUUGGCCUUGAACUCACAGUGAGCUACAUGCCUCUACCUCCCUGAGUACUGGGAUCAAAGGGAGGUAGAAUAUACACAUGCAUUACAAAUAUGUGGAAAUAUGGGUGCUGAAGGAAGCCUGCUCCACAGAAAUAAUUGCUAUGAAGAAACUGUUCUGGAAGAUAUGCAUAGAAGAAGGCAAGCUUGCUUUGCAACUAUGGGAUAUUAAUUCACUAAGACUUCACAUCAUAUCCAGUGAAUAAAGAUGGCAAGCAUGAAGACAGCACCAAUUGGAGGCCCAAUGUAGCUAGAAAAUGAUCCCGUAUAAUGGAACAGCUGUCCAUUUUGUGAUACCUGUACCAAUGGGACCCACAGGAUGCUGAUGACGAUGAGAACAAUGCCAAAUACCCUGUCAGGAAAACACAGUGAUCCAAAGAUGAAACAAGAGCAUUGUGCAGGCCUCCGCCAUUCCUGAAGUUAGUCUUCUGCUCUUUCUUUGUUUUUCCAAGCAAAGUCAAGCUGCUUGACCUCACAUGAACCCACAUCACCCCUAAGAAUUACCUGGUAGUGAAAUGUGAAUGAGUAAACUCAAUAGUUAGCUGUAAUAUAUUCAUUUGUGAGAUUAUCUAGCUACUCCUGAAAUGAACUAAAAUUUCAGCAAUUGACUAUCUUUUCGAUGCAUACAUCAAUUAGAAAUAAACAUUAGAUUAUUUCUAUCUAUCACUAAUCCUUUAUAUGAUAAAUAAAACAGUUUAAUCUUUUUCCUUUUCUCUAGGUUGAGGAAAACUGAGUCAAUUUACAGAGGUUAGCACCCAAAUAUCACACAUCUCAGAUGUUGUGUGGCAUGGCAAGAAAUGGUAACAUACGCUUCCUAACUUGAGUAUUUCAACAACUAAAAUGAAUUUGUUAAAAUUCUGGUAAGAGGUAAAAAGAUAUUAGAGGUAGCCAUCUUCCGUGAGAGGUGACCUGCUCUUGGAAACCCUAGUGUCCUAAUUUACUGUAAGCAAGCAAUUUGCUAGAUAGUGUGAUCUCCUAAGUAAACGUGAUGGUGGGUUGAAGGGGACACCAAGAGUUCGUCAGGGAACGGAGGGACAAGGGUUUCAUUUAAGCCUUACAAACUGCUUUACUGUUACAAAUAUUGGAAAAAAGAACAAAUAAUAGAAAGUCUUGGUGUGCUGCCUAGAAAACUAAAGAUUCAAUCAAGCAUCCCACCACUUAUCAUUAUCUUCAGAAAAUAAGCCACACAUUCUGCCCCUUUGCUCCAGGGCCUUCUCUCUCACGUUGAAUAAAAUCAAAUUCUUUGCUGUAGUUAAGCGAA
This is a long non-coding RNA of Meriones unguiculatus (Mongolian gerbil), 1373 nucleotides long. RefSeq lists it as uncharacterized. The record is from RefSeq and is a predicted model, not a curated record. Lineage: Eukaryota; Metazoa; Chordata; Mammalia; Rodentia; Muridae. The transcript is spliced from 3 exons.